This 292-nucleotide ribosomal RNA is filed under the name uncultured Alphaproteobacteria bacterium. RNAcentral's name for it is "partial 16S ribosomal RNA". Lineage: Bacteria; Pseudomonadati; Pseudomonadota; Alphaproteobacteria. The record is from RNAcentral.
GGACUACUGGGGUUUCUAAUCCUGUUUGAUCCCCACGCUGUCGCGCCUGAGCGUCAGUAACGGGCCAGUGAGCCGCCUUCGCCACCGGUGUUCUUCCCAAUAUCUACGAAUUUCACCUCUACACUGGGAAUUCCACUCACCUCUCCCGUACUCAAGCCGAUCAGUUUCAAAGGCAAUUCCGGAGUUGAGCUCCGGGCUUUCACCCCUGACUUGAUCGGCCGCCUGCGCGCGCUUUACGCCCAGUAAUUCCGAACAACGCUAGCCCCCUUCGUAUUACCGCGGCUGCUGGCAC